GUUUAAUUCAAAAUGAGUAAAUGGAUGAAAUUAUAAGCAAGGUCAAUCCUAUACAAUUCUGGUCCUCCAGCUUGGGAGUUAAGGCACAUCACCAGCAACCCAAUACUUGUAAAAGAAAAAUUAUUUAAAGCUUCCAAUAUUUUCAACAAUCCUUGCAAUUUGAUGGAUAAAUGGUAAUCGAAAUUGGUACGAAGACGGACUUUUAGAUUGGUAAUAUGGAAUACACAGAGUAUAACACAAAAACAAAUAGAGAUGAUAGACUGACCGAAAGGCACUGAGGAACUAGAACACUAUUUUUGUAUUUGGUCAGAUGUCCAUAAAUCAAAAAGAGCCGCAAAAGGAGUUGCUGUCCUGAUUAAUAAAAACCAAAUAAAAUGCAUAAAACAUGUUCAAUUGUCUCCUCGUUCUCCGCACAUAGUCAGAAUUCAACAUCGUCGGCUAGACCCAACAAAUUGAUGUAUGUCUUUAAUCGGCAGUGUCCAAUAAAACUGAACUUUAAUGCUGCUACGAGUAAGUCCUAAAAUAUUCCCGGGUUUCAUAGUGGUGGUAUAAAUAACUUAACUUGUCUCAUUCCAGAAGAACCCUUCAGCCCACAGUCCAAUCCUAUGUUUGGCCAUCACAAAUGAUAUAUCAAUUGCUGGCUCUGACCCUACAAACUCUUUAGCUCUGCCCUCUCGUGCUAGCUCAUCUGCUUCAUUGCUAGCAACCCCAGAAUGACCUGGGACCCAGAUAAGAGAAACUUUAUUAUCACAACUCAGUGUGUUUAAAGUUCUUUUACCAGAUCAUUAACCAGAGCCACCUGGAGAGCGGCUUGACUGUCUGAGAAAAAUCGUACUGUCAUUUCUCUCAAGAGAUCAAGGAUUUUAAUACCUAUGUCAAUAGCAAAUACGAGGCUGUAAGCGUGAAUAAUCCGAAGUGUCUGGCUCCUGCCCCGACCCAUUCUGGCGUUUUUGAUUCAUCUGUGAAUAUGCAAAUAUCUGCCUGAAUCAAAGAGUUUUCAUUUUCGAUCCAGGACUGCCGUUCAGGUCGUACAAUCUGACAUCGAGCAUUAAUCAUUGAUAGUGAUCCCGCUAAAUCUGAUGGCAUUGAUAGCACAAUAUCAGUGCUUAUAGUGUCUUCCGCGGUAGGACAUGUCGGAGCAGUUUUGAGCAUAUUGCUUAAACAUAUAGAUGGUAGUUCUAGCCACUUUCUCUAUAUGCAAAUGCAAAUGAGAUAGGAGAAGCAGAACAUUCAUUGCAGGGGUUGGCUUUGUGCUUAUCGCACUAGAGAUUUCCUGAUAACUGAAGUCUGUCGGAUUUUCCUAUACCAGGCUGCUGCUCCGCAUGUGAUCAUUGGUCACAUAGAGCUAGUACAAAGACUACGACAAAUCCACAAGGAUGUGUAAAACUCCAAAGUUCUAAAUUAAUCAUACUUAUGAAUGAUUUUCUAACAGCAAACUGACUUUUAAAACCAAGUUUUUAAUAUAAUUUCGCCCCAAACCACUUACGGUAAGAUCCUUAGGGAUUUGACGACGUAGGAAUGAAUGAUUUCUUCUUGUUAGUUUCGAUCGAUUUACAUUUCGUAGUGCUUUGUUAACUUUACCUAUCUUCUUUUAAUUCCGCACUACGUAUUGUGUAGUAGAGGUGCUGCGCUUCAUUAUUUUUAUGAUUUUAAGUAAAGAUUUUCAUUUUAUAUGAAAUAUCACUUUCUACCCACUUCGAAUUUUCUUAUUUUUUGAAACAACCAAUGCUUAAAAUCUUGUAUAACUGCAAUUAUCUACACAAAAAUACAAUCUUGCGACCUGUUCGAAUACGAUUUUUGCUGUCAACUGUUAAUAAAAUGCUUUUUCUCGCACAA
Non-coding RNA from Onthophagus taurus, 1836 nucleotides. NCBI's taxonomy places the organism in Eukaryota, Metazoa, Arthropoda, Insecta, Coleoptera, Scarabaeidae. The record is from RefSeq and is a predicted model, not a curated record.